GAUGAACGCUGACGGCGUGCCUAAUACAUGCAAGUCGAGAGAAGCGGGGACGGGUGAGUAACACGUGGAUAACCUCCUAUAAGACUGGGAUAAAUUCGGGAAACCGGAGAUAAACCGGAUACUGAUAGAUGGAUCCGCGCUGAAUUAGCUAGUUGGUAAGGUAACGGCUUACCAAGGCAACGAUGCAUAGCCGACCUGAAAGGUGGGCCGCCCACACUGGGCCUGAGUUUCGGUCCUGGCUCCUACUGGAGGCCGCGUUAGGGAACCUUCCGCAAUGGACGAAAGCCUGACGGAGCAACGCCGCGUGAGUGAUGAAGGUCUUCGGUUCGUAAAACUCUGUUAUUAGGGCAGCGGUAUCUAAUCAGAAAUCCACCGCUAACUACGUGCCAGCCGCCGCGGUAUUUC
Molecule: ribosomal RNA, 405 nt
Filed under: uncultured bacterium
Lineage: Bacteria
Description: partial 16S ribosomal RNA
Rfam family: Bacterial small subunit ribosomal RNA
Source: RNAcentral